RNAcentral lists this ribosomal RNA (496 nucleotides) under uncultured bacterium. RNAcentral describes it as "partial 16S ribosomal RNA". It matches the Rfam family "Bacterial small subunit ribosomal RNA", at positions 29 to 507 of the family's 1533-position model. The record is from RNAcentral.
AUGAACGCUGGCGGCGUGCCUAACACAUGCAAGUCGAGCGAACAGACGAGGAGCUUGCUCCUCUGACGUUAGCGGCGGACGGGUGAGUAACACGUGGAUAACCUACCUAUAAGACUGGGAUAACUUCGGGAAACCGGAGCUAAUACCGGAUAAUAUAUUGAACCGCAUGGUUCAAUAGUGAAAGACGGUUUUGCUGUCACUUAUAGAUGGAUCCGCGCCGCAUUAGCUAGUUGGUAAGGUAACGGCUUACCAAGGCGACGAUGCGUAGCCGACCUGAGAGGGUGAUCGGCCACACUGGAACUGAGACACGGUCCAGACUCCUACGGGAGGCAGCAGUAGGGAAUCUUCCGCAAUGGGCGAAAGCCUGACGGAGCAACGCCGCGUGAGUGAUGAAGGUCUUCGGAUCGUAAAACUCUGUUAUUAGGGAAGAACAAAUGUGUAAGUAACUAUGCACGUCUUGACGGUACCUAAUCAGAAAGCCACGGCUAACUACGUG